AGGGAAGGAGGCCAGUGCUACCAAGUUUAUCUCCAAGCCUCAGAUGCCGGAUAAGUCCAAGGAAGGAGAAUGGCUGGGGGAUGACAUUCAGAAAGGCCCCAGUGGUUAUUUGCAAGAGAAAAAGCCUGCCUAUUCUUUCCCAAG
Molecule: non-coding RNA, 144 nt
Organism: Erinaceus europaeus (western European hedgehog)
Lineage: Eukaryota; Metazoa; Chordata; Mammalia; Eulipotyphla; Erinaceidae
Source: Rfam